CGUAGGACACAAACGUUAUCCGGAGUUACUGGGCGUAAAGGGCGUGUAGGCGGAUUGGUAAGUCUACUCUGAAAGCUCCUGGCUAAACUGGGAGAGGCGAGUGGAGACUGUCGGUCUAGAGUGAGGAAGAGGAAAGUGGAAUUCCGCGUGUAGUGGUGAAAUGCGUAGAGAUGCGGAGGAACACCAGUGGCGAAAGCGGCUUUCUGGUCCUUAACUGACGCUGAGGCGCGAAAGCAUGGGGAGCGAACGGGAUUAGAAACCCCGGUAGUCCAUGCCGUAAACGAUGUUCACUAAACGUUCGCGUCCCGCGAGGGAUACGGGUGUUGAAGCUAACGCAGUAAGUGAACCGCCUGGGGAGUACGGUCGCAAGGCUA
RNAcentral lists this ribosomal RNA (374 nucleotides) under uncultured organism. Its description in RNAcentral is "bacterial SSU rRNA". It matches the Rfam family "Bacterial small subunit ribosomal RNA", at positions 526 to 896 of the family's 1533-position model. The record is from RNAcentral.